CCCUGCAGAGGCCCGGAGGAGCCUGUGACCCAGAGAACUAACAGCCCCUUCUGGAUUCUGUUUAUUUUCAUUUAACAAGCUCAGCAUGUCCCUGGUGGGAAGAGCUCCCCAGCUGGGGCAGAGUCCACAGUCGGCCUCACAGUCAUCCCUCUCAGCCAUUUCUACAUGCACACAGGUUUUUAGUGAUAUUUUCCAAAACACAUGUAUGCAUGUGCAUGCACGCGAGGGGGAACACACACACACACACACACACACACACACACACACACACAAACACGCAGGACUAGUUUGUAAACCAUUUUAAAAUUUUAUUUUACUUAUUUCAGAUAUAUCUUUUGGGAAAACAUUGGAACAAACCGCCCUGAAACGCACACACCCCUCACUUAGAUCAAGGGUUUGUAUAUUUGUCUUCAACUCUGAAAGGACUGGAAGAGUCUGGGCAAAGCAGGCAUGCCUAGAGUCCCUUCACAGUGCUCCUUGGCCCCUGUAGAUAUGCACAUGGAUAUAGACACUUCUGGACUUUCUGAAGGCAGACUGGCAGUCUUCUGCCCACUGUUCCCAGGUUUGUCUGGAUUGCAUAUCCUGGCUUGGCCCCAGGCCUAGGGUCAUUUUCUCUCCUGUGGGAGGUGCAGCAUCCUGUAAUUACACCCCACGUUCCUUCAGCCUUGGAGACAGAUGCUGGCUCCAUUCAGGAACCUUUGCUUCUCCUAGUGAGUUUGUGUGUAUCGUCUCCCCCAGCUCCAAGAGCCUCUCGGCCCAGAGCAAGGGUUCAUGUGUCUAAGGGACUGAGGGAAGGGCGUCCCUGCUGGGAUGUGGCUGUCUGUACAGACUACUUCCCACCAGUCUGGGUCAUCGCUCACCUGCCACUGGUAUUGUCCAGUUUUGCCUUUGUGACAAUGUGGUGCCUGGGCAAGGACCUGCGCACUUUUCUAGCUCGUUCUUCCUACUUCCUCGGGACACAAAGAGCUACUCUCCCCAGCACAAUCUUCUGUAAUUGUGUUUAUGGUGGCCUCUGCCUCCAAGCCUCCAGUGGGAAUUUCUAAGUGCCCCCUGAUGUUGGACAGAGGGUUAUUUCUGUGGUAGACCUCCCCGCAAGUCCAGAAGCACAUUCCUCUUCCAUUUCCCCCAUGCCCUCAGCUCAUCCGUUAAAGAGGUAGGCUCUCUUCGCAAUCCUUGAGAAUAGCUGUGGCCCUGUGGCUUUCUUUGGCCGGGGGGAGGGGAGGACACCUUCAAACAGAGGCAUGUGGAGGUUUGGCUUGGCCGUGUGCCCUGAGGUUUGCUUUUUCACUUCCUGGGAACCCUGUGGCCACCUUGAAAGUGAUGCUGUGCUAGCCUGCUAGAGGACAAGACAUAUGGCCAAGUAAGCCUUCUUGUCACCCCACCUCAGUCUGACACUCAGUCACCCUGAACAAUGGAGCCCAAGUGACUCAUAGAGGGGGACACUGGUCCUUCAAGAUACCCACUGUGGGUGUCUUGAGAGGAAGCAGGAGCCAAGGCGGUUCCGUCCAGCCAGUCCACAGGCCGUGAGCCUCAGUCUCUGUAACUUGGCGAAUAUAAGUAUGCCCCGAACUGUGGCUGGGAUGGAAUGAGUGAUUCAUGUGGAGGUCACACAGGGAGGACUCAGUCCCCAUGGCUCCUGUCACUGUCACCUCUCAGACAUGGUAAGUCACCUUCUUACUUCCUAGCAUUCUUCUUGAUUGUUCUAUUCUAAACUUUCUUGUCUGACUAAGCAUUCUAGAAGGUGCAGACAGGUAACUCUGAGUGUGAAGAGCUUUCUCUGGCUGAACAGCCUUCACUCUGACUGCAGAACAACUCUCUCCCUAACCUGUCACCUGGUCUCCUUCAACAGGCAGGGUUUUCUGUGAAGAUGUAGCCCUGGAGCAACAGGGCUACAAGUGAUAGGCAACCUGGAGCCUGGCCACCACCAGAAGCUUGGAAGAACCAGGAAGGGAUGAGAACAGUACCAGAGGGAGACCAAAAACACUUGUCUUUUGAAAAGAGUGUGCCUCCCAGGGACAUCAAGCAACUACGGCAUAAACUAGGACAAGAUGAGACACAUACCUUCAUCAAGUGGAAAGCAGUGAAAAAGAAAAGGGCAGACUGAGAGAAGAUAUUGGCAAGACGUAUCUCUGACGGAAAGAGCUACAUACACACGAAGAGGCGACCGGAUCCAGUAACGGAACAGCCCAUUAAACAUGGGCAAUAGUCUCACCGCAGCUUGAUAUGCCAUGGCUGGUUGACAGCCAUUGAGGCUGGCUCUUUUAUUAGGGGAAAUGGAGGAGUGGCUGGGUGAGGAGGAAGAGGGGAAGGGUGGGGGAGGGACUGGGAGGAGAGGAGGGAGGAGAAACUGUGGUCAGGAUGUAAAGUAAAUAAAACGAAGAGGGGAAAAAUAAACCCCUGAAUUUGAAACAAAGAAAGGGGAAAAAACAGAGACAAGAAGGCUUUGAACUGUCGAGACUUCCCACCCCAGCAGUCUGUCCCCGGCUCUGGCUGGCCCAGUCAGGGGUUUGGUCUUAGGUCCCUGAAAGUCCAACAGUGUGUCAUGCUUCCGGGCCCUGAAGCCUUCUGCUCCUGUCCACGGGACUGUGGUAUGUACUCUGUCCUCACUGGCUUUUCACAGCCCACUUUCUCUCCCAUGCUGCUUAGCUCUUUGGGGCAGUACAGCAGUGCCAAGGGGCUGAGAGGCACUGACAUUUUCCAGCUCCAGACCCUCAGAUGACAUCCUGGGUAUUGGCACUUCAGGCUGGUGUCUACCAUCCUCCCAUAGUCAGUGAUGGACACUGACAAUGGUGACAGGGAGAGAUUGAAAGGUUAGGAAAGCAGGUCCUUGGCUGAUUAGAUCUGGUUUCCAUGAGCCUCACUUUUCUUACCUGUAAAAUUAGCCUAGUCCUGUACUCAUCAACCUUAAGUCAUUUCAGGUGGAUGUCACUAGAUCAGCGCUCAACACCGUCAGUGCUUGGACGAGGACGAGGGUUGGCCAGAUCACGCUAUGGGCAUUGUUAUCUUUUCCUUUGGCCACUAGAACAUUUACCAAGGACUUCCCAUGGGUUAGGGACUCAGAGACAGGCCAUUCACUCUGUGGCUGAGGACAGUGCAAGUCACUUAAGCUGGGUAAACCCAGGGAUGGCCCGAUGGUGCCACACUGAGCCCCAGGGGCAGCACCCAUUCAGUCCACAACGCUGGCUCAAAUGGUCUCCACUGAAGACUAAGUCUCAUUGCCAAAUGGGUCCAGAUCACAGGCUCUGUCUGCACUCCUCUCCACACCAUGCCGGCUGCCCAUAGUAGCAUGUUUCAGGCUCUGGGCUCACACACCCUGGGUACAUCCCUGUCUCCCAGAUGAGUGAAACCAGGAAAGUCACCUUUCCUCCCACACUAGACCCCACCUGCUCCAGAGUGUGGCUGGCCCAACAAUCCACAGGCAGAGGCAGCAAACUGGGACAGAGCAGGGGCACCAUGGGCUUUGGGAAGGCAGAUUCAAGCCACAGGAGCCUAGAAUUCAGACAGACAAAUGCUUAUGCAAAGCUCAUCUCUGUGGCGUCAGUGGCUUCCUGAAAACCAACAGAAGACAAUGUCUGGUGGAUUCCUGAGCUGAGGAGAUGAGUGUGUGUGGACAGUUCCCAGCAUAAAAUCAGGGAGGGUCUUCCCACAGAGGGGAGAUGUGGGGGCCACACUUCCUGCCCUGGGCCAGCGGGGACAGUUAGUGUUGUGUUCCUGGUCCUCCAGCCCCUAUGGCAGAUCCUGGAACGUGCAGGCUCUGGCUCAUGGCUCCUCCGGGCUUUCCAUUUGGGUGGGACCUCCCUGGGAAUAAAGUUUAAGCCAUGACUCAUGAAGCAGACAGCAGGACGCAUCAGUGUCCUUCUGGUCUCCAGGUCCAGCCUUGCCUUGCUUGGUCAUGGAGUCAUACUGGUUUUUUCCCUCUAGCCCUUGGGAUACUGAAGACUGAGAAUGACCUCUCUCUGCACUCCCUUCCCUUGUCAUCCCCUUCCCUACUCUCCUCACCUCUUUGAUCCUUUUCUUAGGAGUUCCCGGACCAAAUAGGUCUGAGUUCAAACCUCCCUCUAUCCCCAUCCCAUGCAGGUGGACAGUCUUUGUGUCACACACCUGUUUGCACUUGUGACUUAGGGAGCAGGGCAAGCAGAAACACCAAGUAUCCGCCCUGGAGGCCCUGGGGCAGCCACACUGCCCCCACUUGCUCUGACCUCUGUUCAGCAAUCCUACAGCUGUAGGAACACGGUUGGAAACAUCUAAGGAAGCAACAGCCCCAUCUAGGUCUCCCAGGGAUCUGCCUCCAUGAAGAGGGGCCUCUGAUUGGGUUCACAGGCCUCCCUCCCAGUGCUGGCUAAUUUUAUGUCAACUUGACACAAGCUAGAAUCAUCUGAGAGGAGGGAGCCCCAGUUGAGAAAAUGCCUCCAUAAGAUUGGACAGUAGGCCAGCCUGUAAGGCAUUUCCUUAUUUAGUGACUAAUAGGGAGGGGCACAGCCCAUUGUGGGUGGUGCCAUCCCAGGACUGCUGGUUCUGGGUUCUAUAAGGCAGUAGGGUGAAAAAGGCACAUGGAGCAAGUCAGUAAGCAGCAUCCCUGCAUGGCCUCUGCAUCAGUUCCUGCCUCCAGGUUCCUGCCAUAUUUGAGUUCCUGCCCUGACUUCCUUCAGGGACUAAGAUAUGAAAUUUUAAGCCAAGUAAACAAUUCCUUCCCAGCCUGCUUUUGGUCAUGGUGUUUUAUCACAUCGAUGGAAACUGUAAUGAAGACACUCCCCUUUGGAGGCACCAGAGUUUGAGGGUUGGACUUGUCCUGUCAGGACUGCUAGUUCCUUCUGCAGGGGUUGUCAUGCUGGAUACAGGCAGGGGAAGUCAGUGGGGUUUGGCACAGAGCAUCUUUUGGUUUCCUCACGUUACCCUGUACCUUCUGCCUGGAGCCCUCAAAGGCCUGCAGAUCAGUGACAGCCCAUCUCAGAGCCUCCUUACUGCAUCAGUGGGGCAGCCAGAUGCCCGAGAGAGGUGGCUGGGAGAGGCCUGGUGACCACUCUGUGACGCCCAGGCCAGACGUUUCUAGAGCCCUCCCUCAGUCUGCCAGACGGCGCCUGAGCAGGCAGAGGGUCUGGCAACGGGACAGGACACUAACCGUGACGAGGGUAGUAAUCACAGAGCUACUGCAGCAUCCAAGGGCAUCGAGGGGCCAAGGCUGAGGCCAUCCAGUCCUGGCUGAGGUAGAAGGAAGACUGUGCUGAGGUCAGCCAGCUUCACAGAUGAAAACACAGAUCAUGGGUGGGUGGAGACUUCCCUGAGCUUCCUACUGUGUGCUCUCCAGGCCAGGUCUUCAGUACGAUCUGUGGGCCAACACCUGGCACCUUUACAGCCAAGCUCACAAGAACUUGAUGUGAGGAGACCCCGGGGCCUCCUGAGGCCCAUGGCUCAGCAGGGGAAAGCAGGACACACAGCACACAGGUGAGAAAAUGAACCUGAGAAGUUUGGUGGGGAUAAGUGUCAUGGAGACCCCAAGACACAAGACAAGGAGGGCUUGGGGACCUCCCCAUCGGGGACUACUUUCUGUCCUGGAGCUUAGACACUGUGGUAGAGGGAAUCCCUGGAAGAGCUGGGGAGGAGGCUGCUCUGGGCAGAGGGAACAGCCGUGCAAAGGUCCUGAGGUUGCACAGCUUGUCAUCAUAGAAUGGAAGGAAGGGCAGUAUGAUCAAGUGAAGAAGGCAGGAGCUGAUGUGACUGUCAUAACUUGACUGUGACGAGAAGGUUAGCCAUGGUGGGCAGUAGUAGAAGGCCUCACCUAAAGGCCAGCUGCAGGGGGUGUAGGAGAGAGAAUCCUGGAGAUGAGGAUGUCUCCUUCCUCUCUGUAUGACAAGCCGGUCCCUCCUGGCCUUUACUGGAGUUUUCACUUUCUGCCUCUGGGUCCUUUGUAAGUAGAAGUUGAGUCCCCCAAGACAAAGACUCAGGCCUCGAUCACAGUUUCACCUUCCCAAAGAGCCUGGUACGAAAGGGGACAGUCUGAGAGUCCUGCCCUGACUCAUGGUGUGACCUGGCUCUACUCUGUGUCCUCUCUGGGCCUGCCUCUUCCCUGCUCAGGAGGGGGCUAGUCAGGAGCCACAUGUGGCAGCUGCCUGUCUCUGAGCAUGUCUUUAGCCCCUGUCUCAUCUGUGGAAUAAGGCUGGCAGAGUCCCAAGGUCACUAUGAGGUCAUCGGUCACGGUGGGAAAUUCCUAUUCUUUGCCUCUCUAUGGCUGUUGCUAGGGCUGUCAUCAGGAUAAUUAUGUAGACCUUGCCCCGUGUCCCUUCUGGCUUCAGAGAAGGUGGAUGGCUCAGUAGUCAGUAUG
Non-coding RNA from Rattus norvegicus (Norway rat), 6319 nucleotides. Lineage: Eukaryota; Metazoa; Chordata; Mammalia; Rodentia; Muridae. The record is from RefSeq and is a predicted model, not a curated record.